UUGUUCCAGAAAAAUGAAUCACAAAAUACAAAAUAGAAGGACUGUUUUUGAGAAAGAAAAAUUUUCUCAAAAUUACAAGCUAGAACUUUCUCAAAAAACUUAUGACUUGGUCAACAAGGUAUGGGAAUCUUAUCUUUUAAAUCAAAAAGGAGACUUUAGAAAAACCAUGAUAGCUCUUGUUGAUCAUUUAUCUAAAAAAGAAUUAUCUUUGAUGGUGCUAAAAGAAAAAUUAAGACUAUCUGAUGAACACUCAAACUAAAUCAUACCUAAUUUGGCUACUCUCCUCAAAGUUGAGACACCUAUGACAAACAAGCAAAAAAGACUUAACUAUUAGAAAAGAGCUAAGAAAGUUUUAACUAGUGAACUUCUAGAAGACAUUCAUCAAAAAGCAACUCAGCCUAAUGAAACAAAAGAACUGCUUGAAGAAUUGCAAUUUUUUCUAAUAGACAAAAAUGAUCUAUUUGUGCCUGGGCCAAUGCGUGCACACGUGGAAGCAGCAGAGUGUGUGUGUGAGUGGGUUGAAGCCACAGAGGUAUGAUAUCUCACAAGUCCUAAUGGACUCUCCUGAUGUAGAUCAGGAACCCCGAUAGCCACG
Molecule: long non-coding RNA, 595 nt
Filed under: Elaeis guineensis (African oil palm)
Lineage: Eukaryota; Viridiplantae; Streptophyta; Magnoliopsida; Arecales; Arecaceae
Description: long non-coding RNA (EGUI_LNC049173)
Source: RNAcentral